GAUGAACGCUGGCGGCGUGCCUAAUACAUGCAAGUCGAGCGAACGGACGAGAAGCUUGCUUCUCUGAUGUUCGCGGCGGACGGGUGAGUAACACGUGGAUAACCUACCUAUAAGCCUGGGAUAACUUCGGGAAACCGGAGCUAAUACCGGCUAAUAUUUUGAACCGCAUGGUUCACAAGUGAAAGACGGUCUUGCUGUCACUUAUAGAUGGAUCCGCGCUGCAUUAGCUAGUUGGUAAGGUAACGGCUUACGAAGGCAACGAUGCAUAGCCGACCUGAGAGGGUGAUCGGCCACACUGGAACUGAGACACGGGCCAGACUCCUACGGGAGGCAGCAGUAGGGAAUCUGCCGCAAAGGGCGAAAGCCUGACGGAGCAGCGCCGCGUGAGUGAUGAAGGUCUUCGGAGCGUAAAACUCUGUUAUUAGGGAAGAACAUAUGUGUAAGUAACUGUGCACAUCGUGACGGUACCUAAUCAGAAAGCCACGGCUAACUACGUG
This 497-nucleotide ribosomal RNA is filed under the name uncultured bacterium. RNAcentral's name for it is "partial 16S ribosomal RNA". It matches the Rfam family "Bacterial small subunit ribosomal RNA", at positions 28 to 507 of the family's 1533-position model. The record is from RNAcentral.